CUAAAGACUGCCUUUCGCCCUCAGGGCUCAGUAGCAGCCCCGCCUUGUUCUCUGAGGGGGACUACUUUGGGGGCAAAAUCGGAAAGUCCUUAGCUCUCGUCUUCUUCUUCGUUUGUGGUCCGAGUUCAGAGAAGGGAGGAGGAGGGGUCAAGUGCCCUUCUGACCCUGGUCCCCCGGCGCUGCCCUGGCCAGGCAGUCUGGGGCUUGCAGGCGAGGUGGAAGAAUGGUCCCUGGCUGCGCAAGGGCGUGCCAACUGCCCUUUGAAACCAUGGGCGCAGUCCAGCCUAGGCUGCUUUGGCCCUUCAGGCUGCAGAAGACCGCAGGACGGCUCGUGAGAGGGACAGCUCUGCUGUGGGGCAGCCUGCUCCAGCUGGGCAUGGAACACCAGGGCUCACAGAAGCGGCUGCUUGGUGGUGCCGCCGAGGUCCAGAUGUGCCAAGCCAUACUGCCUUCCCACGCCAACCACCUCGGUGAGCUGAGCGCCGGCCAGCUGCUCAAAUGGAUUGACACCACCGCCUGCCUAGCAGCUGAAAAACAUGCUGGUGUCUCCUGUGUAACAGCAUCAGUGGAUGACAUACAGUUUGAAGAGACAGCCAGGGUAGGCCAGAUCAUCAAUAUCAAAGCGAAAGUCAUCAGAGCAUUCAAAACCAGCAUGGAGAUCAGCAUUAAAGUCAUAGUACAAGAUACCUUCACCAGGACUCAGAAGCUUGUGAGUGUGGCAUUCUCUACGUUUGUAACCAAACCAGUUGGAGGAGAAAAGGUUCAGUUAAAGCCAGUCACCCUUCUGACAGAACAAGAUCAAGUCGAACAUGAUAUGGCUUCAGAGAGAAGGAAAGUCAGACUCCAACACGAGGACACCUUCCAGAGCCUGAUGAGGGAGAGCAGCAAGUUUGCUGAUGCCAUCUGUGACCAAGAAGACAGUACAGUUUCAACUGGUGAUACCUGGGUACAGAGCAUCGAACUUGUCCUUCCACCCCAUGCAAACCAUCAUGGAAAUACAUUCGGGGGCCAGAUUAUGGCUUGGAUGGAGACAGUGGCUAACAUUUCAGCAAGCCGCCUUUGUUGCUCCCAUCCCAUUCUGAAGUCCGUGGAUAUGUUUAAGUUUCGGGGACCAUCUACUGUUGGUGAUCGGCUUGUCUUCAACGCCAUUGUGAACAAUACUUUUCAGGAAUGGGUUGAAGUGGGGGUCCGUGUUGAGGCGUACAACUGUGAGGAAUGGUCCAAAGGCCAAGGCCGCCAUAUCAACAGUGCUUUUCUCAUUUAUUAUGCUGUUGAUGACAAUGAAGAACGUAUCGUGUUCCCCAGAGUCAAGCCCAUUUCAAAGGAUGAUGUGAGAAGGUACCGUGGGGCUAUUGCACGUAAGAGGAUACGACUUGGCAGGAAAUAUGUUGUUUCUCAUAAAGAAGACAUUCCACUUCAUGUUCACUGGGAUGAAAACAACCAGGUAUACUUGAGUCACAGCAAUGUGGAUGCUCUCAAAGCCCUGGCAGCCAAAAGUGGUUGGGAAGUCACCAGUGCUGGGGGAAAGGUCAAAAUGCAUACCUUGGAGGAGCGGGAUGUUUUGUCAGUCUGGGUAGAAAAGCAAGUAGAGAGAUCAGCUAACUUAGCUUUUGACCUGCUGUCUGACUUCACAAAGAGACCUCAGUGGGACCCCCAUUUCUUGACUUGUGAGGUCAUAGAUUGGGUGAGCGACAAUGACACAAUAUAUUAUAUAACCUGUCCAAAAGUGAGUAACAGUAAACCUAUAGAUUUGGUUGUCCUUGUAUCACGAAGAAAACCUGCCAAAGACAGGUGAGUAUAUGAAAUUACUAGAUUAUAAACUCUAUGGGAGCAGGAAAUACGUGUAUUUCAUCUUGGUCUGUCUCAGCACCUAGGACAGCGACUUACACAGAGGAGACACUGAAUGUGUUUGAGAUGAAUUAAUUUCAGAUCAGAGUUUAGAAGCUGUUGAAGUACUUGUAGGGUAACUUUAACACAUAAAGUACUUGUAUUUUAACCCUUCAAGGAUCUGUGAUUUCUGCAGUGUGAAGAUUCCCUCAACCAAUGCAAGGUAUAAUCCCUCUAUGCCUUAGUAAACAAUCUUAAGAAAUUGUUUUGGCUAAAAUGUGAAUCCAACCUAGUGAUGAAUGACUACUCUGAACAGAGGGAAGCUGGUCCCCUGAUGACACAAAUAAAAGCUGUCUCCAACUCUGUACCUAAAGCCAUUGCAGCCUUGGUAAAUGGACCAGAAUUUGUAUUCUCUAGCCACUGUAUUUGGAAACUCGGGGUUACCUCCAAGCCAUGAUGAAAUAUCAGAAUACGAUUUUAUUGAGUUCAAGGAGGAACCUAUAUAGCCAACUUCUCUCUUAAUUAAAGGCCUCCUAAAAGUUGCUCCAAGUUCCAGUCAGGAUUUGAGUCAGUAUCUAUACAAACCAUAGCACAUAAGUCCCUCAUUGAACCCUCUGUUAUCAUACCAAUGAGAGGAUGCAGUAGUUCAAAGAGAGGGGAAAAAACCCCAUUAAACAGCACAGAAAAAUUAGUUAAAAACUAGCAUUUAUUCGGCACUUACCAUGUGCCAGACAGAACAAAAAUGGAGAUCCAAGCACAAGCAAAAGGAAAAACAGUCCAUUUCCUCAAGGAGUUUAUAUUUUUUUAGCCCUUACCUUCUGUAUUAGUAUCAGCUCAAAUCAGAGGAGGGUAAGGGCUAAGCAAUUGUGGUUAAGUACCUUGCCCAAACUCACAUAGCUAGGAAAUGUCUGAAGUCAAAUUUGAACCUCUCAUUUCUAGGUCUGCCUCUCACUCUACUGUACCACCUAGCUGCCUUAGGAGCUUUUAUUCUAAUGAGAAAAGGCAACUUCAAAGGGAGCCGAAAAGCAGGUUAAAGGGAGGAACACACAAGAGGUUAUGGUGGCAAAGUUUAGAAAUUCAGAGGCAGAGCCAGGAGAGAAAUAAAAGUUAGCUGGCCUGGGCCCUUUCUCAAAAUGAAGGUCCCGGAAAGAACUCAUCAAACACAAAGAACUAUCUGAGGUACUCAGCACUUCCAAGAGCAGCCAGAGCCAGGUUAAAGUAAUUGGGAAAUAUUUAACAAAAUGAAUAAAAAUGCCAAAAACAUAGUGUUACACUUCAAAACUGUCACUAUAUGGCAGAGAUCCUUGUGUAUGGAUUAGUGACCUUCUCCCUUUCCAUUUGAGUUUGACACCACUGUUCCUGGGUGAGAAGGCUGCUGGGGAAGAUGGAUAUUCCAGGGUAAGGAGGAUGCAGGGACUUAAGGAAGCUUCAGGAGGAGACUACAGCUGAGUAACACUUAUGUAGUAGCAGUCAAGUCCGUCACCCUGGCCUCGAUCCCACCUUCUCCUCAGUACAACAGAAGUGAGAUCACAUGCGCGGGAUUCCUGAUACGGGCUGUUGACAGCAACUCCUGCACGGU
This is a non-coding RNA of Monodelphis domestica (gray short-tailed opossum), 3406 nucleotides long. The record is from RefSeq and is a predicted model, not a curated record. NCBI's taxonomy places the organism in Eukaryota, Metazoa, Chordata, Mammalia, Didelphimorphia, Didelphidae.